Molecule: transfer RNA, 73 nt
Filed under: Ictidomys tridecemlineatus (thirteen-lined ground squirrel)
Lineage: Eukaryota; Metazoa; Chordata; Mammalia; Rodentia; Sciuridae
Description: Spermophilus tridecemlineatus (thirteen-lined ground squirrel) tRNA
Rfam family: tRNA
About the family: Transfer RNA (tRNA) molecules are approximately 80 nucleotides in length. Their secondary structure includes four short double-helical elements and three loops (D, anti-codon, and T loops). Further hydrogen bonds mediate the characteristic L-shaped molecular structure. tRNAs have two regions of fundamental functional importance: the anti-codon, which is responsible for specific mRNA codon recognition, and the 3' end, to which the tRNAs corresponding amino acid is attached (by aminoacyl-tRNA synthetases). tRNAs cope with the degeneracy of the genetic code in two manners: having more than one tRNA (with a specific anti-codon) for a particular amino acid; and 'wobble' base-pairing, i.e. permitting non-standard base-pairing at the 3rd anti-codon position.
Source: Rfam by way of RNAcentral
GGGGAUAUAACUCAGUUGGUAGAGUGCUUGCCUUGCAUGCACAAGGCUCUGGGUUCAAUCUCCAGUACCACAA